Molecule: ribosomal RNA, 195 nt
Filed under: uncultured Glomus
Lineage: Eukaryota; Fungi; Glomeromycota; Glomeromycetes; Glomerales; Glomeraceae
Description: partial 18S ribosomal RNA
Rfam family: Eukaryotic small subunit ribosomal RNA
Source: RNAcentral
AGCAGCCGCGGUAAUUCCAGCUCCAAUAGCGUAUACUAAAGUUGUUGCAGUUAAAAAGCUCGUAGUUGAAUUUCGGGAUCAAUAUAUCGGUCGUGCCACAGGUAUGUACUGGUCUUGCUGAUUCCUCCCUCUUGACGAGCCGUAAUGCCAUUAAUUUGGUGUUGCGGGGAAUCAGGACUGUUACUUUGAAAAAAU